AGUCAACUUUCAGGUUUUCUUCAGCACUCUGGUCAAACAAGAAAGGUUAUAACAUCCAUGGAGGACUAACAGGCUUUGACAAUCAAGAAACCAAAUUACCUGUGUUCUGGACUACUUCAUUUAAGGAGUUGUGUAUUGGAAUGAAAUAUGGGAAAAGGUUCAAAUUUAUUACCAUAAAAUACCCGGCAAAUUCGCUGUACGACUUGUUCGCUGACACCAAAUAUCGUUCAACCAGUCUUGGUCGCAAGACAUGGAAAUCCUUGAUCGCAGGCUCAUCCCUGCAAUCGCAUUGCAACCGAGAAGGCUUCAAUAUUAAAACAAAGUAUGUCAACAUUAGAUUGGGUCUCUUGGGUAACAACGAGAAUAACUGCGCUACAACAGAUACUUUUAUUGGUCUUGGGAGUUAUUCUACUUCGCGCAGGUUCUGCAAGUUUGUUGUGACGGCAAACAGUGCAGGCAAUGUUGGACAAUGUUGGUCAGACAAUGGAAAUACUGAUUUUAAAGCCAUGGCAUAUAUAUUGAUUCGCUAGACAUAGACGUAUAUUUUACAUUUAUGUAGCAUGUCUUUUGUGUUUAUCUUAGAGUCGCGUGAACUUCUAUAUUAUGGGUCAUAUCUAUCGAAUGACGUCAUUUUCUACCUAUAUAACCAUUGACAUUACUGCUUUAAGACAUGUAUCCUAUAUUAAUUUUUACAGAAUAUAUAUUUUCCCGUUUUAGUAAG
This is a non-coding RNA of Paramuricea clavata, 721 nucleotides long. Lineage: Eukaryota; Metazoa; Cnidaria; Anthozoa; Malacalcyonacea; Plexauridae. The record is from the annotation of a GenBank genome assembly.